GACGAACGCUGGCGGCGUGCUUAACACAUGCAAGUCGAACGGAAAGGCCCUGCUUUUGUGGGGUGCUCGAGUGGCGAACGGGUGAGUAACACGUGAGUAACCUGCCCUGGACUUUGGGAUAACCGCAGGAAACUGGGGAUAAUACCGGAUAGGAGCUCCUGCUGCAUGGUGGGGGUUGGAAAGUUUCGGAGGUUGGGGAUGGACUCGCGGCUUAUCAGCUUGUUGGGGGGGUAGUGGCUUACCAAGGCAUUGACGGGUAGCCGGCCUGAGAGGGGGACCGGCCACAUUGGGACUGAGAUACGGCCCAGUCUCCUACGGGAGGCAGCAGUGGGGAAUAUUGCACAAUGGGCGGAAGCCUGAUGCAGCAACGCCGCGUGCGGGAUGACGGCCUUCGGGUUGUAAACCGCUUUCGCCUGUGACGAAGCGUGAGUGACGGUAAUGGGUAAAGAAGCACCGGCUAACUACGUG
RNAcentral lists this ribosomal RNA (468 nucleotides) under uncultured bacterium. Its description in RNAcentral is "partial 16S ribosomal RNA". It matches the Rfam family "Bacterial small subunit ribosomal RNA", at positions 28 to 507 of the family's 1533-position model. The record is from RNAcentral.